AAGUCGUAACAAGGUUUCCGUAGGUGAACCUGCGGAAGGAUCAUUAACUAGUAUUGAAGUCCACGGGGAUCAGGCUUUCCGAAAGGAGGGUGGGGGGAUGUUUGGUUCCCCCUGCUUGGGCAGACUGGAGAGCAUGGUGUAGCCACUUUUGUUGGCUACGUUAUGUUUGGCCUCUGCUGAUCGAGCUUGUCACCUGAAUUCUACUACCCUUGCUUUUUGCGCACCCAUUGUUUCCUCGGUAGGCUUGCCUGCCAGUAGGACCAUUUAAAACCCUUUGUGAUUGCAAUCAGCGUCAGAAACAACGUAAUCGUUACAACUUUCAACAACGGAUCUCUUGGUUCUG
This 343-nucleotide unclassified non-coding RNA is filed under the name Plenodomus biglobosus. Its description in RNAcentral is "Leptosphaeria biglobosa partial internal transcribed spacer region". The stretch from base 1 to 46 matches the Rfam family "Eukaryotic small subunit ribosomal RNA", at positions 1786 to 1831 of the family's 1831-position model. Lineage: Eukaryota; Fungi; Ascomycota; Dothideomycetes; Pleosporales; Leptosphaeriaceae. The record is from RNAcentral.